Long non-coding RNA from Fukomys damarensis (Damara mole-rat), 1330 nucleotides. RefSeq lists it as uncharacterized. The record is from RefSeq and is a predicted model, not a curated record. The transcript has 5 exons. Lineage: Eukaryota; Metazoa; Chordata; Mammalia; Rodentia; Bathyergidae.
UCUUGUCCCGCGGAUCCAAGAUGGCGACGUAUCCACCGCGGAGGCUGCUGGGAGCAAGACCUUUACCCCUUGACCCCCGCCGUGACCCCCGUCGCUCUGGCUUCCCUUAAGGCAGCAGCGAAAGGUGGGAGCAGCGAUUGUGGACCAGACACAGGGCUGGGGAUCCUGCAUCCUCAGGUGCCGUGUCCGCACUUCGAGACCCCGCAACACGUCACCGUCGCCUCCUGAGAAGAUAUUACCAAGGACCGACAUGAAUGGCUAGAUGGAAGAGAAACUAUAAACAAGUGGUGGUGAAGAGGAGUUGCAUGACAGUUCUUCCAGAGGAUGGAAAGCACACCAGAAGUCUCCGAGGCAAAGUGUAGAACAAGCUUUAUUCUUAGCACCAAUGGAAAAAAAAAUGGCUCACCUGACUAAUGGCUUUUGUGGAAAAGAACUAAUCAUCACCUACUUAGUUCACCCAAAUUAGAGAAUUCAAUUACAAAGGGUAAAACAAAAUUGCAAAAUUUUAAGAACCUUAUACUUGUAUCAGUGUUAGACAAAAGUAUGAGAAGAUUCUGUUUGUCUUUGGUGUUCCUGACCUCUUUUUAACUUUUUUUUUUUUUUUUUGUACCAAGGAUCAAACUCAGGCCCUUGAGCUUGUGAGACAGGCAGCACCACCCCUGAGCUAAAUCCCAGUCCCCCUGACCUCUCUUUUAUCUGUGCUUUUCCCAUCAUCUUGUGUACACAGGGCUUUCAAAUGCAUUUCACUCUCUGUUUUAGAGAAGGUCUCUUAAAUUAACUCUAAUGUAUACAUAUGUCACCUCCCUCAAGGGUAUGAACUUGUUGACAAUGUCUAAAGAGCAAAGGCAUAGCACCAUGGAAAUUGUCAAUUUAAAUAACUCAUGAAUCUGUAUAGUUUUUAAAGUCCAAUUUUUCUUUUUGAGAAAUAGUAUUUCAAUUUCCUUUCAUGAAAUUACCAUUUCACCAUGCCAUGCACACUUGAUGAGACCAUAAAUCCUAGUAUCUGCCUCCACUGGUCUUGGAGUAAACAGAUGACUCAGGGUAGGUCAAUCUGACAUUUUGAUUUUUUGACUCUUUAAGGCAUUGAUGCAAGGACAAAGGUAAAACAGUUGUCUCCUUAUGUUCCACAACGGCUGUCUGUUAAAACUUUGAAUAGUUCUUAGCAAAAUCAUCUCAUUUUUAUUUUGUCUGAUCAUGGCUUUGCUUUACUUCUUUCUAUGGGCACCCAGUGAUCUUCCAUCACAUUCCUUUUUGCUUAGAUUAGCCAGGACAGAUUUUGUUGCUUAUAAAUCUCAUGUCAGAUUCAAAGUAUUCGGAGAUGUGAUGGCUU